This 198-nucleotide ribosomal RNA is filed under the name uncultured bacterium. RNAcentral describes it as "partial 16S ribosomal RNA". It matches the Rfam family "Bacterial small subunit ribosomal RNA", at positions 328 to 539 of the family's 1533-position model. The record is from RNAcentral.
ACGCUCGACACCUACGGGAGGCAGCAGUGGGGAAUAUUGCACAAUGGGGGAAACCCUGAUGCAGCGACGCCGCGUGAGCGAAGAAGUAUCUCGGUAUGUAAAGCUCUAUCAGCAGGGAAGAAGAUGACGGUACCUGACUAAGAAGCACCGGCUAAAUACGUGCCCGCAGCCGCGGUAAUCUGAGCGGGCUGGCAAGGC